CCGAGGGCCCAGCAGCGCCCGGCACGCGUCCACCGGCGGCCGGAGCGAGGCCUGCGCCUGUGAGGGUGGGCCCCGGACUGCCAGCUCUCCGAGGGCCCGCGGCUGAGGGCCGCUGGAGUCACUGACCUCGGACGCGGCGACCGACGAUUGCCUGUCACUGGUCUCCUAUGACACUCUCAUAAGGGUGUUGUUGGCCAUGUCUAUCACCACUGCGUGUUCACCUGCAAGCCUCGCUCCCUUUUGUGACAUCCGCCCCACGGCUGCCAUGGGGCCCAGCGAAGAGAUGUGGGGAGGUUCCUCAUCCAUGCUGACCCCACACGCAUCUGCAAGUUGGGAAGGUCAUGCGUGUGGCAGGACUUCCCUGUGUGUGCUGGCCGCAGUCAGGGGCACCUGUGAGCUGCAGAAAGGUAAGUCUUUAUUUUUAAAUGUACCUUGUUCACCCAGCAUGGGAUUGGAGAACACAGAAGUACUUCCACCCCCAGCUUCAUGUUGCCCACCCUAUAGGUGUCCAUGCUUGCCCAGUUCUUGAAUUGCUUCGUUUCUGCUUUGUUUUCAAGAUCCAGCCCAAACAGGCAUCUGGUGGGUGUCCCCUCGAGACCCUUCCUUUCCCGUCUGCCCUUCUGCCCUCACACCUCCGGCCCCCACACGGCACGCUUUCUGAGGGUGGAGGGCUUCUGGCUGGUGUCUGCCUGUCCCCCGACACCUAUCACAGGCCCUGACCCUGCAGGCUCUCAGUAAACUGUGAGUGAGGCCACAGAUCACCCAGGAGGACCUGCAAGAUGCAGCUGACGACACGCGGCUGCUGGGUGAGGGCUGUUGGGGGCUUGGAGUAGGGGCCGUAUUCCUGCUCGACUUUGUAAACACAUCACUUUCAAAAGCACACAUCCUGAGCACAGCAGGAGGCAGGGCCAGCACCCUGUGUCCACUCCCCAGGCCACAUGUCCCCGUCCUCACUGACCUGGCAGACGGAAGGGCCACAUGGGACAAACUUCUCAUCCUCACUGGGCUGGGGGUGCUGGCCUCUGCGGUUCUGCCGAGGAUGGGCCUGGCACCUGAGUCAAGACCUAGGGGAUCAGGGAGCCAAGGUAGGUGGUGGGCCAUGUGCUCAGGCCAUUUAUUUCCGUGGAGUCUUGGGGACUCUGGAGAAUGACCCCCACGUGUGUCCGGGGUUCAACUGUGGGCACCAUGAAAUGGACUCGGGGUGAAUGUCAUUACAACCCAACCCCCUAUGCAUCCCCUGACCUGGGGGCUGUGCUGCUUUCCUGGUUCCCAGGAGUCGGCGUAGCCCUACGGCUGGUCCUCACUGUCCGGGUGUGGGACUUUCACAAGGCACAGUUAUCCAGGUCAGUCCCCUCAGGAGAGCACAAGGAGAACCCAUGGGGCCACUGUGUUUUGUGUCCCCCCCACCUCACUCUGGUCCAGCAGUCAUGGGGCCGGAAAGCGACUUGGGAGUGGGAAUCGGGCAAGACUCGAGCCCUGGCAUGGUCUCCUUGAGUUACAUCCACAGCAGUAUGUGCCCACCAGGUUGCAGCCAUUGUCCAUCUAGUCAUCUGGGUGUACCCCUGGGUGCCCCCAAACUGGCAUGUCAAAAAUUACCUUUGGCCCCCACGCAGCCCCAGCCUGCCCCCCCAGCUCUGCUGCACCCUCACUUCUGGAACCAACUCUGGGAGCACACCCUGUCUCCACCCUCACGGCACACCCACACCAGCUUCAGCCGCUUUACACAGCAAACCGUCAUCCACCACACAGCCUAGUCUGAACCACAGUGACCUUCACGUCCUCCGUGCCGUGUCCUCAUCCCACUGCCCUCGGGAUAAAGUCCCCACUCCACAUCAGGCCCAUGCAACCCUGCAUGGCUCCCUACCCCGCCCAGCACCCAUACUCUGUGCACAUGCACACACACAUGCGUGCGCACACACAGUAGUACAGCGAUGGAGGCCAUGUGAUGGUGUAAGAAGAGACAGAUCUGUAAAUGGUGUAGAGAGUCUGGUAGACCAUUAUGUGUCUAGAGACUUAGAUUAUGAUAUCAGUCAAGUCAGUCCCCACCCUUGGCUCUGAGCUGACCUCAUGGCACACUUAAGCCAGCAGGACGUGGGGUAGGGACAGCAUGCCGGUGUGAGCCCAGGCCCCUCUCUCAGGUCUCAGGCUCACGGUGGACCCUGAGCUAGCCUGCUGGAUGCCCUGACAUAGCUGGGAUGAGAGACCCCCUGGGGAGAGCCGAGCUACCCAGCCCCAGCCCACCAGUCCCAAGAGCUGGCCAUAGCUGCAUGGGGGGCUGGGAGAGACCAGUGGAAUGGACCCCCAGCCUAAAUCCCUGGCCUGCAGGAUCUGGGGCUGAAUAAAUGGUUUAUGUCUCAGCCACUAGGUCUGGGGUGGCUUAUGACACAGCAGGAGCUAAGUGACAUGCCUCUCUUACAUUCACUGGUUUUAGGAGACUCACAGAUGUGUGCAACCAUCACCACAGUCAGUUUUAGAACUUUCACCCCAAAAGCCCUGUACAUGUUAGCUGCGACCCCGCCUCUCACCCCCAGCUCUAGGCAACUACUAAUCUACUUUCUCUCUCUGUAGGACACCUGCUUCUGAACUUCCUUUUUUUAAGGAGCAUUCCUGCCUUAAUAAGCUUUGGGUUCCACAAAACCUGCAUCUACCUCUGUUGUGGUGUCCUGGAAACCAAGAAGAGAGACUAAUGGGGAGAGGGGAGUCAGCAGUGUUACUGCUAUCUGGAGAUGGAGUAACAGGAGAGACUAGAAAAGCAUUGGCCCUGAGUUUGAAGUUUGCCUGAAAUAUGCUUUGCCUGCUGGUAGAAACUUCACGAACUAAUGCGAACAUGUUAGAAAUAUUCCUGUUAACAUCAGGAACGUGGCAAGGAUACCACUGGGUACCCAUACUCAGCGUUGUGUUGAUGGUCCUGACGAUGCAGUAGGAUGAGAAUAAAGAAAUAUAUCUACAGAAAA
Loxodonta africana (African savanna elephant) is the source of this 2954-nucleotide long non-coding RNA. RefSeq lists it as uncharacterized. The transcript is spliced from 2 exons. The record is from RefSeq and is a predicted model, not a curated record. Lineage: Eukaryota; Metazoa; Chordata; Mammalia; Proboscidea; Elephantidae.